This 464-nucleotide ribosomal RNA is filed under the name uncultured bacterium. RNAcentral describes it as "partial 16S ribosomal RNA". It matches the Rfam family "Bacterial small subunit ribosomal RNA", at positions 339 to 795 of the family's 1533-position model. The record is from RNAcentral.
CUACGGGUUGCUGCAGUGGGGAAUUUUGGACAAUGGGGGCAACCCUGAUCCAGCCAUGCCGCGUGAGUGAAGAAGGCCUUCGGGUUGUAAAGCUCUUUCGUCAGGGAAGAAAUUGGAGGGGUUAAUAGCUCUUCUGGAUGACGGUACCUGAAUAAGAAGCACCGGCUAACUACGUGCCAGCAGCCGCGGUAAUACGUAGGGUGCGAGCGUUAAUCGGAAUUACUGGGCGUAAAGCGUGCGCAGGCGGCGCGUUAAGACAGGUGUGAAAUCCCCGGGCUCAACCUGGGAAUUGCGCUUGUGACUGGCGUGCUCGAGUACGGCAGAGGGGGGUGGAAUUCCACGUGUAGCAGUGAAAUGCGUAGAGAUGUGGAGGAACACCGAUGGCGAAGGCAGCCCCCUGGGCCGAUACUGACGCUCAUGCACGAAAGCGUGGGGAGCAAACAGGAUUAGAUACCCCGGUAGUC